Molecule: ribosomal RNA, 401 nt
Filed under: uncultured bacterium
Lineage: Bacteria
Description: bacterial SSU rRNA
Rfam family: Bacterial small subunit ribosomal RNA
Source: RNAcentral
UAGGGAAUCUUGCGCAAUGGGCGAAAGCCUGACGCAGCCAUGCCGCGUGAAUGAUGAAGGUCUUAGGAUUGUAAAAUUCUUUCACCGGGGAAGAUAAUGACGGUACCCGGAGAAGAAGCCCCGGCUAACUUCGUGCCAGCAGCCGCGGUAAUACGAAGGGGGCUAGCGUUGCUCGGAAUUAUUGGGCGUAAAGGGCGCGUAGGCGGACAGUUUAGUCAGAGGUGAAAGCCCAGGGCUCAACCCUGGAAUUGCCUUUGAUACUGGCUGUCUUGAGUUCGGGAGAGGUGAGUGGAAUGUCGAGUGUAGAGGUGAAAUUCGUAGAUAUUCGGAAGAACACCAGUGGCGAAGGCGACUCGCUGGACAAGUAUUGACGCUGAGGUGCGAAAGCGUGGGGAGCAAAC